Homo sapiens (human) is the source of this 3322-nucleotide long non-coding RNA. NCBI's taxonomy places the organism in Eukaryota, Metazoa, Chordata, Mammalia, Primates, Hominidae. The record is from Ensembl.
UAAAGGAAUAGGCAGUGUUGUUAAGUUCCCUUCUUCAGUCUUCUCUUAAGCUGAAAGUCCAACGAUUUCAAGAUUCAAUUAAUUAGAGACAUGGAGAGCCAAAGUACAAGAUACCUGUACGGAGAACUUGGGAGGCAUUUUUAUAAGCUCAUUGUCAAGUGAAUGUUAAAGUCCCCAUUCACUGAGAAGCAAAGGGUGAAGAAGUGAGACCCUACAUGGCUUUUUAGUGCAUUGAUGGAGCAGAGACACGUCUAUGAACAACUGCCUAUGCAAACUGAUUACUCGGCAGUAUAAUUUAUCAGUUUGUAUGAGUAAGUGAGUGCUUCUCACUAUGGAUUUAGCUUGCACUUCAAUUUAGUUCCAUUAUCUUGCUUUGGAUUUAUGGAAAUUCUGAACAGUGAUGUGAGAGUGACUACAGUUUGAAGUAUCUGUUAAAUACAGCAACAUGACAUCACAAGGAUUGUUUUGGAGUCUUCUGGAUAUGAGAACAUUAUAAAAGGUGAAAAAGUAGAACUGAAAUAUGAAGGGAGAAAAAGAGACAAACAUGGUUUCAAGUCUCACUUAGAGAAGAAGGAUUGUUUAUUUAUUUGAUGGAAAUUGGGUCAAUUGAAGACUCUGACACAGAGAAUAACGGUACCAGACCUGAGUCCAGUCUUAGCUUUAGUAGGAACAAAAUGUAUCAAUCAAAUUUAUAUAGGACCAAAUACCAGUGAAAGAAAUUAGACAUAAUUACUGAAAGAAUAAAUUACAUGAGAUAUUCACUGUACUUAGCCACAUGACAUGAAAACCUAUGCCCUUUAGAGCAAGCACAGUUCCAUGCAAAACUGUAGAGAAGUUUUCUCACCCCUUUUUCACAUGCUUCUCACAUUGUAGCACCCCUCCUUGAAACCAUCCUACUUCUACUAUCCUCCAGUUUCCUCUGGAUUUGAAUGUCCAUAUCAUGCUAUGGUCCUUCAGUCAGCUCCUGUGUCAGAAAUCAGGGCCCUGCUCUGGGCUCUUCCUUCAUCCUGUAACUAUAGUCAAAUAAGUCCUGUUAAGUCUACUUCCUUAAAAACUCUUAAUAAUCUCUUCCCCUUCUUCAUUGCCAUUGCCUAUUGCACCAUCUUAUUCAGAACACCAUUUUUCUUACCUAUAAUGUUGAAAGUAACUCUUCAACAGUCCUGUUGCGUGCUUUAUCCCAUUGCUUCUUAUAUAACAGAUGUGGUGAUAUUUAGCCUAUUUGUAGUUCCUUGAAACCAUCCUUUGUACUGCCAUCUAAGUAAUCUUUAAAAUAACAAGAUAAAUAUUUCUAUGACCUCCAUUGUCUAAAGCAAAUUUCCAAUGUAUAUUGUGAAAAAAAUGCCAAAGAGUUUCAUGACAAAUGCUAUAUACUAUAGUCUUGGGAGAGCCACAGGGUAAAUUAGUUCUAAAGAGCUCUCUUUGGUAGAGGAAACUGUUAAAAUGUGAUCAGCCUAAUAAGAUCAUAAUCAUAUGACUAUGAACUAUUUUAAAUGUACCUAUCAAUUUUUUCAACCUACUGUUUUGAAGUAUAUUCAAUCUAUUGUCUCAAGUAUAUUUUUCAAUGUACUUGAGAGUAUAUUGACCUGAAGAGAAAAGUCCAAACUCCUAUGACCUUACUAUUGUUCUGACCUCAUCUCUCACAGCUCCCUCUUAUUCCUGGUGUUCUAUCACAUGAUAAUGAAAUUUGACAGAACAGUAUUUAUGUUACUGGGGGUGUGGGGCAUUGAGGAAGCAUGGCAAAUGAGAGGGAAGUGGUAGAAAAAUGACUUUUAUCAUGUGCCUCUAAGAAGAGACAUAUAUGGAUUGAGAUCCACUUAAAAGGGAAAAGUUAAAAAAAAUCAAAACCCAAAAAUCACCACCAUUCUGUGGAUGUGGUAUAUUUAAUUGUCUAAUAAUAAUAAAUUUCCCACAAUGUCAGAUGUUAAGAGUACAAGAAAGAGUUACAAAAGGAAGAGGUUAGGGCAAUAAAUUGAAAAGUGAGUAGAGUUGAGGAAAAUGCUUUGCUAGAUUGCUAGAUUGAAGUUUUCUUCAAUCUAGCAAAAAAGGAGACAGGAGAAAAGGAGCAAAUUGCAAAGGCAAUGGAGGGGAGAUAACAUAGCUGAUUACUAAAGAGGAUAUUUGUGUACUUAUUUGUAUGGUGUGUGUGUGUACGUGUGUGUGUGUGUGUCUGUGUAUGUGUGGUGGUACUUGAAAGACAAAUUGGAUUAGGGUAGUAUUUUGAUUCUGUGUUCAAUUCUCUGAACAAUGACUCAGCUUGAUAGGCUAUUAAUGUUUAAUAGUCCCAUAUAUUUCUCCUAUGCUGUCUACAAGAAUAUCAUUCUCAUUAUAAAAUUUUGUGUAUCUCAUUUGUCUUACAUUUUCACAAAUAUAAAAAAAUACUUCUUUACUCACUCUACAGCUCUGUGAACGUUCAGAGUAAACCUUCUUAGGAUUACUUAUGGAAAAGAAAAGAAUAUUCACUCUAUCUUGUAUAUACAAACCAUGUUAACAUUAUUUCUAGAUAUAGAACUGGCUGCAUACGAUUUCAACUGUUAUUCUGAACAAAUUUAAGUAAUUCUUUAUUCUCAGCAUAUUGGCAACAUAGAAAUGCAUUUUAGAGGUGCAGAGGCACAGAGGGAAAUUUGAGCCAAAUGAAUCUGCUAGAUAUUUCUGCACAGUUUUCAUAAUUCAUUGUUAGGUCUGGCUUCAAGGAGGGCAAAGUUCACAUAUUUCUUUUUUAUAUUGAAAUAAUCACAAUAUUAUUUUUUAGUAAAAAUGUUUGAUUUUAUUCCAAAAAAUCUUUAAGUAAGGAGUAAGAUUUCUGCAUGAUCUGCGAAAUGAAGGUGGAACAGAAUAGAAGCCCUCUUCUGUACAAUGUCACCAAAACAUCCCGAAGUUUUAUCCUGCCUGGAAAAUUUCUUACACAUGAUUCUUACUGCUUAGCUUGAAAUUGCACCUAGGAAGAAGCUUUUGUUCUCAGUGCUGCCAAAACUUCCAUUUUUCAGCAGUGACCUCAGUUUAGCACCUGCUUAUAAGAUGUGUUUGCACAUCGUUGGUACGUUAUAGUGACAUACAUGUUCUCAUCUAGGAGAUUGUCAUAGAAUUCAAGAGAUGUUAACAUUUUUCCAUCUGUGUGUGUGAAAGUGACGUUUCCUGUUAAUUUUGUUCUCUUGCUGAAUUCUCUAAGCAAAAGCCUUCUGUGGGAGGGAGAAUGAUGUCAUUAUAGUCAUAGCAUAAAAAUUUUCAACCUUUAGAAUGAGACAUAUUGUGGCAUAUAUAUUACUACUUUUAAAAGCAGUGACACAAAAACUUGGAGGACGAUGAUAUCAAUUUUAUAUUUUCA